UACGGAGGGUGCAAGCGUUGUUCGGAAUUAUUGGGCGUAAAGCGCGUGUAGGCGGUCUGGUAAGUCAGAUGUGAAAGCCCUUGGCUUAACCAAGGAAGUGCAUUUGAAACUGCCUGACUUGAGUACGGGAGAGGAAAGUGGAAUUCCCAGUGUAGAGGUGAAAUUCGUAGAUAUUGGGAGGAACACCGGUGGCGAAGGCGACUUUCUGGACUAGUACUGACGCUGAGACGCGAAAGCGUGGGGAGCAAACAGG
Molecule: ribosomal RNA, 253 nt
Filed under: uncultured bacterium
Lineage: Bacteria
Description: partial 16S ribosomal RNA
Rfam family: Bacterial small subunit ribosomal RNA
Source: RNAcentral